RNAcentral lists this ribosomal RNA (889 nucleotides) under uncultured bacterium. Its description in RNAcentral is "bacterial SSU rRNA". It matches the Rfam family "Bacterial small subunit ribosomal RNA", at positions 8 to 891 of the family's 1533-position model. The record is from RNAcentral.
AGAGUUUGAUCAUGGCUCAGAUUGAACGCUGGCGGUAGGCUUAACACAUGCAAGUCGUGCGAGAAAGUACCUUCGGGUACGAGUAGAGCGGCGGACGGGUGAGUAACGCGUAGGAAUCUACCUAGUAGAAGGGGAUAGCCCGAGGAAACUCGGAUUAAUACCGUAUACCUCCUUAGGGAGAAAGAGGGCUUAGCUUUGAUGCUCUCGCUAUUAGAUGAGCCUGCGUAAGAUUAGCUUGUUGGUGAGGUAAUGGCUCACCAAGGCAACGAUCUUUAGCUGGUCUGAGAGGACGAUCAGCCACAUUGGGACUGAGACACGGCCCAGACUCCUACGGGAGGCAGCAGUGGGGAAUAUUGGACAAUGGGCGCAAGCCUGAUCCAGCCAUACCGCGUGUGUGAAGAAGGCUUUCGGGUUGUAAAGCACUUUAAGUAAGGAGGAAAAGGUUAUAGAUAAUACCUAUAACCCGUGACGUUACUUACAGAAUAAGGACCGGCUAAUUCCGUGCCAGCAGCCGCGGUAAUACGGAAGGUCCAAGCGUUAAUCGGAAUUACUGGGCGUAAAGGGCGCGUAGGUGGUUUAUUAAGUUGGAUGUGAAAGCCCUGGGCUCAACCUAGGAACUGCAUCCAAAACUAGUUCACUAGAGUACGAAAGAGGGAAGUAGAAUUCACAGUGUAGCGGUGGAAUGCGUAGAUAUUGUGAAGAAUACCAAUGGCGAAGGCAGCUUCCUGGUUCUGUACUGACACUGAGGUGCGAAAGCGUGGGUAGCGAACAGGAUUAGAUACCCUGGUAGUCCACGCCGUAAACGAUGACAACUAGCUGUUGGAAAACAAUAGUUUUUCAGUGGCGCAGCUAACGCAAUAAGUUGUCCGCCUGGGGAGUACGGCCGCAA